CCACAUAUAGAAGAGAUUCAAAAUCAAUGAGUAGUGCAGCAUUUCAGCAAGGUGCUUAAGGGGAAUACCCUAACCCUCAGAUGUCAUAAUAAAAUUCAUUAAAUUCAUUGUGUGUAAACACUCACAGUGUUUCUAUGUUGUGCAGAUAACGUUUUGCACAUGUUGGUAAGUGAUCGUAAACACCAAGAUUUUUGUUUUGGUUUCUAAUAUAAUGUUGCUUUAGCAUGAUUUCAAGUUUUCGACGACAACAACACUUCAUAUCAUGUUAACUAAUGCUUUGAAUACAAGUUUUUUGUUGCCCAUCAUUUUUAAUUAGUUUUGUUGUCAGUAGAAUCUGAAUCCAGAUUAAUUCUGAGACCUUUGUUAUACAGGUUUAUUCAUAAUGUUUCUCUUACAGAAUAUAGUUUAUAGAUUUAUAUUAUAUGAAGAUAUUGAAACAAAGUCAACCUUUUUAUGGAGACAUCCUCUUUGAAGAGCCUCAAACAUAUCAUAUAUUAUUCACCAAUAAAUUGACAAUUUUAAUUCUGGUGGCCUUCUUACUCAGCCCAUUCAAAGUUUAGUUUAAUUUUUAGCAACUAAGUGUUUUUUGUUCGACCACUCCGUGCAUUUUUUUUUAGCGGUAGCAAAGUCGGUGGAGAAGUUAACUCUGCGAAUGGUAACGUUCCACUAAAAGCACAAAACAAAUUCAAUUUAGUGGACAAGUUAUUCAUCGGAUGGCGUAUCUGACUUCUCCUAUGUCAUGUUGCAGACAAGUUUGUUUACACAUACUCUUUGUGAAGUCUCUUUAAAUUUAUCUCCUCAUAUUUUGUCUUAAUUCAUGUUUUUAUUCUUUGAUUAUUUAUUUAUUUAUUUCAUAUAUACUUGGGCAAGUAGUGUUUCUUCAGAUCCACUUCAUCUUCCUGCUUUUGUUGUCAUUGAUGUAUUGAAUUGUAGAUUGAAAUCUAAACAUCUAUUAAUCGCUUAGUCGAACAUUAUUUUCUUUUUGGAUUCUUUCAAGUAAACUGGGAAUUUCAUAUUUAGCCCAAAAAAAUCCAUUUUUAUAUCGUUUUUUAGAUUCUUUAUAAAAACUUUUAUGUCAAUUUGCAUAUACACUAAAAAAUCUUUUUCAGAUGUCUGAGUGUAUCUAUGAAUCAUUGACAAUGAGUUCAACAGGUCAAAAGUUGGUGGAACAAAGGGAUUAUCAUUAAAGAUGCGUGUUAGCCUUGGAGAUGUACUAAAGUAUCCAGCAUUAUGUAGUUGAUACCAUUCAGGUACAAUAUACGCAAAUUGACAACAUACAUACUACUAUAAUAGAUAGAGCUAUGAUAUAGAUUAUAUUCUUGGUGAUUAUCUACAUUGUUCGCAACUUUACAUAAUGUAGGUGUUGGUGAUAUAGCUAUAUGAGGGGAUUUUUUAUUAAUGACACGUGGUCUUUUCUUAGUACUCUCAAGUCUAAAGACCCUGGUCUAGGGGUUAGUCUCUCUUUCUCUAUUAAUUUUGUUAUGGGAUCAAUUUUUUCUUUUUGAUCAAAUAUAAAUUUUAGUAAUCAACACAAAUCCAAGUUACAAUCGUGAUCAAAGGGUGUUUAUAAAUCCCGUCAGGUGAUAAUACUCGAACACAAGAAAUACAAUUCAGACCCUACUACACAGACCCACAGUGGUACAAAUUGUGUUGUUGAUAGUACCAGUACCAGUCCAUCGCUACUACCUAUACAGAGGUGUUUGUUGCCAUGUUUUGGUGUUGCUCUGUUCCUCCGUUACUGAUAUGCGUAAAUUGUUGUCCAUCCUAUUCGGAGCUCAUAAAAGUUAUGACCUUCAGUCCUUCUUUGCUCACUGCCAUUUAUGCCCAAGAUGUUGCCUGAAUUUUGUCCUUCUCUGUCCUUCAAUCUGAACCUUACUCUGAAUUAUGAAUUUUUAAUUUACUAAUAUUAGGAGUUAACUAAAUAUUUUUUCUUAUAAAUUUAAUUUUUUUUUAACUCCAACAUAUUAGUGUAAAGUGUAAACGUCACUGUGAACUCUUCCCCUCUUUAAAUAUUGUUGCAAUUCUCAUGCUCCAGAGUGUCCAAAGUAUUGCAUGUGGACUGCAACCCAAAUUCCUCACUACAACAGAUUUGGGUAUUUGCAACGCAAUAUUUUUGUCACUACAUAUGCUACUGAUCUGCCAAUCUAUUUGCCUAAAAAGGAUGCUCAUAAAGUGCCCUCCUAAGCUAAAUAUUAGGUAUGAUAUAUUCUAAUGUUACCAUUUUGCACUGCAGGGGUUUAGAUUGUGUUCUAUCAACAUGUUCAAGUGACUUGACGCUUUACCCGCUACAACAAUUUGCAAGCUUUCAUGAUUCAUAUUAGCAGAACAUGUACAAGGUUUAAUUGAGUAGCUACAAUCAAUAUCAUAUGGAAGGGGAAAAAAAUUAUUCAAGUCCAAAAUCUUCUCAUUGUUUAUUGACAAAAAAUAAAAACUCAUUGUUUAUUGACAAAAAUAAAUAAAUAAAUAAACCUCUUUAUUAAAUGAGUAUUUAUCAUUAUAUAGAAUUUUUGUGAUUGGUUUUGAAUAAUGAGUUGGGGAAAAUAGUGCAAAAGGAUAAAUAGUGCAAAAGGAUUGGAUGUGUUUACUUAUAUAGUAUAUGUUUGUUUUAUAGAUAUACUAACAGGUAAAACCUAUGCUGUCAAAGGCGGAGCGGAGCGCCAGGCGUUGGGAUUUCUGCAGACCGCCUCCAUCGCUCCGGCGGCGCUCCGGCCAGAAGUUACAAAUCACUUUAUAUUGUAUAUAAAGUAUAAACUCUGAAUUUCUGAAAAGUAUGUAAACUUCGUGUAUUAUACAGAUCACGGUAUAAAUGUAUAAUAGUAUAAAAACUUGAUUAGAACUUUAGAAGAAGAACA
This 2852-nucleotide long non-coding RNA is filed under the name Aquilegia coerulea. Its description in RNAcentral is "long non-coding RNA (ACOE_LNC000234)". Lineage: Eukaryota; Viridiplantae; Streptophyta; Magnoliopsida; Ranunculales; Ranunculaceae. The record is from RNAcentral.